This 88-nucleotide transfer RNA is filed under the name Rhodospirillales bacterium. Its description in RNAcentral is "tRNA-Pro". It matches the Rfam family "tRNA". Rfam says of the family: Transfer RNA (tRNA) molecules are approximately 80 nucleotides in length. Their secondary structure includes four short double-helical elements and three loops (D, anti-codon, and T loops). Further hydrogen bonds mediate the characteristic L-shaped molecular structure. tRNAs have two regions of fundamental functional importance: the anti-codon, which is responsible for specific mRNA codon recognition, and the 3' end, to which the tRNAs corresponding amino acid is attached (by aminoacyl-tRNA synthetases). tRNAs cope with the degeneracy of the genetic code in two manners: having more than one tRNA (with a specific anti-codon) for a particular amino acid; and 'wobble' base-pairing, i.e. permitting non-standard base-pairing at the 3rd anti-codon position. The record is from RNAcentral. Lineage: Bacteria; Pseudomonadati; Pseudomonadota; Alphaproteobacteria; Rhodospirillales.
GGCCCCGUGGCGAAACUGGUAUACGCCCCCGAUCUGGGAUCGGGGUUCCCUCCAGGAAUUGCGGGUUCGAGUCCCGCCGGGGCCACCA